AGCUGCGUAAAUCUUCAUCAAACAAUGUUGUCGUGGCGCCUCCUUUCAUUCCCCCCUAGCAGUGGAUCUGGCUCAAGCUCUGUCCGUAUCUCCAUCUCCAUCUCUGAGUCGUCGUUGGCGGUGUCGGCAAAAACGAAUGAAAAAUACGCCAACUCACGGUCAAUUGCAAUUCAAUUAGACGCAAUUAGUGCCGAGGCACGCAUCGGGGGAUAUUCAUGCGAGAAUUACAUAGUUAGAAGAGCUGUCGGAAGAAGAGGAUUGGAUGCAGGAUGCAGGAUAGGGGGCGAGGCGAGGCGAUGGCGAUGGCGAGUCAUGAUUUGCAGUUGAGCUGUGUGCGUCUGCUAAUGGUAUAUUUGCAGAUGAAGAUACAUCCACAUCCACGCAGGCGGCGGCGUCGGAGGCGGCAGAAAAAGUAUCUCAUUAGACGUGCAGCUACAUGGCAACGGCCGCUUAACUCAUUCAUCAUCAUCAGACAAGGGGCGGGAACGGUAUCGGAAUCGGGUUCAGUAUCGCUCUCGGUCUCGGAUCUGUUGAGCUGGCCAUGCCAUAGACACAGACACAGACACAGAAACAGAUACAGAUACAGCUACAGAUACAGUAGGUUGCAGGCAGGCUGUCCUGCAGCAACAUGCGACUGCAGCUUAAUUGCAAAAUGACCCAAUGAGUUCUUGUUGCUGGCACCACGAGUAGUAGCCCCGACUAAGCUGCAGCUCUUGCCUCGGGUAGUGGGACUGGGAGUCCUUCUCGUUCGUGUUUAAUUAGUCUGAGCGCUGAUUCUGUAAGAUACACCGAAUACAUAUACACAUGACGAGGCACAUAAUUGGGCCAUCUCAUGUUCCCAAGGAAGCUCAA
Long non-coding RNA from Drosophila pseudoobscura, 852 nucleotides. RefSeq lists it as uncharacterized. The transcript has 2 exons. The record is from RefSeq and is a predicted model, not a curated record. Lineage: Eukaryota; Metazoa; Arthropoda; Insecta; Diptera; Drosophilidae.